This 473-nucleotide ribosomal RNA is filed under the name uncultured bacterium. RNAcentral describes it as "bacterial SSU rRNA". It matches the Rfam family "Bacterial small subunit ribosomal RNA", at positions 28 to 507 of the family's 1533-position model. The record is from RNAcentral.
GACGAACGCUGGCGGCGUGCCUAACACAUGCAAGUCGAGCGGGGUUGAGGCGAGAGGUAACUCGAACUUCUACCUAGCGGCGGACGGGUGAGUAACGCGUGGGCAACCUGCCUCAAGGUUUGGGAUAACAGCCCGAAAGGGCUGCUAAUACCGGAUAUGCCUAUGGCCUCGCAUGGGGCUAUGAGCAAAGGGGAAACCCGCCUUGAGAUGGGCCCGCGUCCCAUCAGCUAGUUGGUGAGGUAACAGCUCACCAAGGCGACGACGGGUAGCCGGCCUGAGAGGGUGACCGGCCACACUGGGACUGAGACACGGCCCAGACUCCUACGGGGGGCAGCAGUGGGGGAUCUUGCACAAUGGGCGAAAGCCUGAUGCAGCGACGCCGCGUGAGCGAAGAAGGCCUUCGGGUUGUAAAGCUCUGUCUUCAGGAAGAAAAAAUAGACGGUACCUGAGGAGGAAGCCCGGCUAACUACGUG